UACGUAGGGUGCUAGCGUUGUUCGGAAUCAUUGGGCGUAAAGCGCGUGUAGGUGGUUAGUAAAGUUGGGUGUGAAAUCCCUGGGCUCAACCGAGGAAGUGCAUCCAAAACUAACUAGCUAGAGAGUGGUAGAGGGAGGUGGAAUUCCGUGUGUAGAGGUGAAAUUCGUAGAUAUACGGAGGAAUACCGGUGGCGAAGGCGGCCUCCUGGACCAUUUCUGACACUGAGACGCGAAAGCGUGGGGAGCAAACAGG
Molecule: ribosomal RNA, 253 nt
Filed under: uncultured bacterium
Lineage: Bacteria
Description: partial 16S ribosomal RNA
Rfam family: Bacterial small subunit ribosomal RNA
Source: RNAcentral